Molecule: long non-coding RNA, 406 nt
Filed under: Mytilus galloprovincialis (Mediterranean mussel)
Lineage: Eukaryota; Metazoa; Mollusca; Bivalvia; Mytilida; Mytilidae
Source: RNAcentral
CAUGAUUAAGUAUUACUUAAGGGGUUAGUUUGAGAAAAUUAAAUUAUUCGAAGUUUGCCUAUAGUUCAACGUAGCAGCAUUCGUUAUUAUGUUUACCCCCCCCCCACCCCUUUUAUGAGAUGGUUAUCGUCAAUGGAGUAUAUAUGCAUAUAUUACAGUACAUUAAUAUGAAUUUUUCCUCUUUUGUAGAUAGUUUUUGAUUGUGUUACUGUAUAUUACUGUGCUAUUGUAUGAUUGGAUUGGUAGUGUGCCUGAAUUUAAAGUGAAGGACUUUAGUUUGAGAAUCAUAUUGAAUGUAAAGUUAAUAUUAAAGGCUGCUACAGCUGUAGGCACACUUAUCCUAUUUAUGUGUUGUUUUAUUUAUUAAAUAAUUUAUAUUCGUUUGAGUUGGCGAAUUAGAAUAUAA